This 7275-nucleotide long non-coding RNA is filed under the name Podarcis lilfordi (Lilford's wall lizard). The record is from RNAcentral. Lineage: Eukaryota; Metazoa; Chordata; Lepidosauria; Squamata; Lacertidae.
GGACUUGGUGACUUCAAUAGUAAAUACUCAUAGUCCUACUUGGACAGAUUGCCGCCAGCUCCUGAAUACUCUGUUCACCACUGAGGAAAGAAGAGACAUAAUUGAAAAGGCACAGAUAUAUUUGCGUGAGCAGGCCAGAGUGGGAAAUAUUCUUAAUGUUGACCGUCAUCUCCAGGACAAUUUUCCCUUGGAGGAUCCUAAUUGGGAUCCAAACAAUGCAAUUCACCUGGCCAGGCUUACCACCUACCGCCAGACGCUUGUGCAAGGUAUCCGCAGGGCAUGCCAGAAGCCCACUAAUAUGACUAAAGUCUCAGAAGUAGAACAGAAACCGAAUGAGAGUCCGGGAGACUUUUAGAGAGGCUGCAGGAAGCCUAUCGUAUAUGGACUCCUUUUGACCCUGAAGCCCCUGCAAACAGCAGAAUGAUUACUGCUACUUUUGUGGCUCAGUGCGCUUCUGACAUUCGUAAGAAAAUUCAGAAGUCAGAAGGCUGGGAAGGGAUGCUGAUGAGCCAAAUUAUGGCCAUUGCACGCCGAGUUUAUCGGAAUAGGGAUGAGGCUGAGAAACAAGAGAAGAAGAAGUGGCAGAAGGAAAAGAUGGUGAUGCUAGCCACAGCAGUGAAGCAAGACUACCGCCCUUUAAAUGGAGGGAGAGGGCGGGGAAGGAAUCCACCACUGGGAAGGAAUCAAUGUGCGAAUUGCAAGAAGGAGGGUCAUUGGAAGCGGGAGUGUCCUGAACCCCUGAGGUUGGAAGAAGUACGCCCAGGCCCAGGCCCAGGCUCCGGCCCAAGAAACCAGGGACGGGGACGGGGAAUGAUCCGAGAUGGAAGAUAUCAGAGACCUGGACAAGGACGGAGUAGAGACAAUUUCAUUGGACUGGCAGAGGAGGAUUUUACCCAAGACUAGGAACGACCGGACUCCAUAAAGUUAGGCUUCCAGGAGCCCACGGUCAAAAUUCAAUUAGGGAGCCAUUUAAUAGACUUUAUGAUAGAUACUGGCGCUGAAUACUCAGUACUCCCAGAACUAUUGCAGAAAAAGGCAUCCAAAAGUGUAGUCAUUAAAAGUGCCACUGGUCAGUCAGCUAAGAGGUCUUUCCUCCAACCUUUAGAAUGCCAGAUUGGGGGACAUCAUUUAACCCAUCAGUUUUUGUAUAUACCUGAGUGUCCAAUGCCUCUCUUAGGUAGAGAUAUGCUGUCCAAAUUGCAGGCCCAAAUCACCUUCACUCCUCGAGGUCCAGAAAUGAAACUGCCAUCAAAGGCAGCAGGAAUAAUUUCCCUCUCAGUACCUAAGGAACAAUCAUGGCGCCUAAUGUCAGCCCUGCAAGUCCAACCCACAUUGGAUACAGAAUUAAACAAGCUCCUCCGAACCCUACAAGUGCCACCAGGAGUAUGGGCCGAAAAUAGCCCACCAGGAAUGGCUAAGAAUAUAGCUCCAAUUGUAGUAACCCUAAAACCUAUGGCUACCCCUGUAUCUGUAAAGCAAUAUCCUUUACCCCGGCGAGCAGCAGAGGGCAUCCAGAAACAUUUGGACCGCCUAUUAAAAUAUGGUCUGCUUAAGCCCUGCCAAUCAGAAUGGAACACACCCCUUUUGCCUGUUCGGAAGCCUGGGACAGAUGAAUACAGGCCAGUACAGGACUUGAGGCUCGUAAACCAGGCUAUCGAGACCUUGCACCCAAAUGUACCAAACCCAUAUACCUUGCUGAGUUUGAUCCCACCAGAAGCAACAUUUUUACUGUAUUGGACUUGAAAGAUGCAUUCUUCUGUUGCCGGCUGGCACCACAGAGCCAACCUAUAUUUGCCUUCCAGUGGGAAGACCCUUUGACAGGAACAAAAGGCCAGCUAACCUGGACAAGAUUGCCCCAGGGAUUCAAAAAUUCCCCAACUUUAUUUGGCACUGCCUUGGCGAAGGAUCUAACAAGUUACCCCUCAAUACCUGGAAAAAGGUGGUUCUGCAAUAUGUAGAUGACCUUAUACUAGCGGCAAAGGAUUUUGAUACCUGUAAAGAAGGGACAGAGGAACUGCUCCACUUGCUCUGGGAAGCUGGCUACCGAGUUUCCCAGAAAAAGGCACAGUUAUGUUUAGAAAAGGUCAAAUAUUUGGGCUUUGACAUCUCACACCAACAACGAGCAUUGAGACCAGAGAGGAAAGAAGCUAUUUGCCUUAUCAAGGAACCUACCACAAGGAAACAACUCAGAGGAUUCCUGGGAACAGCAGGGUUUUGUAGACUAUGGAUACCUGAUUUCAGCAGUCUGGCCAAGCCCUUACAUGAAAGCACUCGAGGUGCAGAAAAGGACCCAUUCGUAUGGGGACCUGAGCAGCAACAAGCCUUUUUAGUUAUCAAACAACGACUUAUGGAGGCCCCAGCCCUUGGACUGCCUAAUUCGGAAAAACCCUUUCAGCUGUAUGUACAUGAACAGAAUGGGAUUGCAGCAGCAGUCCUGACCCAGAGAUUAGGAAGUUGGAACCGUCCAGUAGCUUAUUUGUCAAAACAAUUGGACUCAGUAGCAAAAGGAUGGCCUCCAUGCCUAAGGGCAGUAGCGGCCACUGCAAGCCUUGUCAAAGAAGCUGAUAAAUUUACCUUUGGCCAGACGAUGUAUGUGAAUGUACCUCAUGCUGUUCUGACACUCAUGGAAUAUAAGGGUAGUUAUUGGCUAACGAAUCCAAGGAUGGCUAGAUACCAAGGCCUAUUGUGUGAAAAUCCCAGGAUUCAUCUACGAGUAGUGAAUAUGCUCAAUCCAGCAACUUUGCUGCCCCUACCAGAGGUAGAUGAUGAAGAAUCACAUGAUUGUCUCCAAAUAAUGGAUGAAGUGUAUUCCAGUAGACCCGAUCUGAAAGAUGAACCAUUGAAAAAUCCAGAUGUUGUAUAUUAUACUGAUGGUAGCAGUUACCUGCAUGAAGGUGCCAGACGAGCAGGAUAUGCUGUGGUCACCAAUGAGGAAGUUGUGGAAGCUGAAGCUUUGCCUGCUGGCACCUCAGCACAAAAGGCUGAACUUAUAGGUUUAACUAGAGCUCUGCAAUUGGCAGCCGGAUGUAAGGCAAACAUCUAUACUGAUUCUAAAUAUGCCUUCUUAACCCUGCAUGCACAUGGAGCUCUAUGGAAAGAAAGAGGUCUAAUCGGAGCCCAUGGGAAGGCCUUGAAAUAUGGACCUGAAGUAGAAAUCCUGUUGGAAGCAGUAUGGGCUCCAGAACAGAUUGCUGUAAUGCACUGCAAAGGUCAUGGACGUGGAAGGGAUCCAAUAACCAGAGGAAAUCAUGCUGCUGACAAAGCAGCCCGAGAGGCAGCCCAGAAGCCUGUGGGAGGAUUUAUAGCAGCCCUCAUACCAGAGGUAGUUCCAGAAGAAAUUAAACCUCACUAUACCCCAGAAGAGAGGAAGUGGGCUGAACAGGAAGGAGCGGUUGUGAAGGACGGUUGGAUGAUCCUGCCGGACAAUAGGAUUUAUGUACCUCAUCACCUAGCAGGCACAAUUGUAAGAAAUUAUCAUGAAUCUACUCACCUUGGCGGUACUGCAACCAGAGAGAGUCUCAGUCGGAAGUUGUAUAUUAUUAACCUAUCACAAUUAGCAACUUGCAUUUCACAGAAAUGUGUUCUUUGUGCUAAAAACAAUCCCAGGCAGGGACCGGUACAACCUCCUGGAAUCCAACAUGUGGGAUACGUCCCCAUGGAAAGCCUAAUUGUGGACUUCACAGAGCUGGUCCCUUCUAAGGGAUUCAAGUACCUCCUUGUGUUUGUAGAUACCCUUACCGGAUGGGUUGAAGCUUUUCCCACCAGGACUGAAAAGGCACGAGAGGUAACUAAGAGACUCCUCACUGAAUUGAUCCCGAGGUUUGGAUUACCUAGAUGCAUUGGAAGUGAUAAUGGGCCAGCGUUCAUUGAUCAAGUAGUACAAGAAGUAUGUCGAGUCCUACAAGUGAAAUGGAGACUGCAUGCAGCAUAUAGGCCUCAAAGUUCGGGGAAAACUGAAAGAAUGAAUCGGACUCUGAAAACCCAAUUGGCAAAAUUAACCCAGGAAACAGGAUUGGGAUGGGUAGAUGUGUUACCCAUAACACUGUUUCGUGUUCGGUGUGCACCCACAAAAAGACUUAAGUUGUCACCUUUUGAGCUCCUGUAUGGGAGGCCACCCUCCUUUGUUCAGGAUAUUCCAGCUGACCUCAAACAAAUAGGAGACCAUGUGACACAGGGACAAGUGCAAUCUCUCUCCCGUGUUUUUGUUUCUCUUAACAGGUGGGCCCUCGAGCGCACGCCGUGCAGCAUUGCCGAGCCGAUUCAUCAGUUCCAGGCUGGCGAUAGCGUAUGGGUGAAAGAGUGGAAACGUGAUCCACUUGCACCUAAGUGGCGUGGGCCUUACACCGUCUUGCUCUCUACUCCAACAGCGGUGAAGGUAGCUGAGGUGACCCCCUGGAUUCAUCACUCCCGUUUGAAGAAGUCCGAAGGCAGUUGGACGUGCAAAGGUGACCCCUCUAAUCCUUUUAAACUGACUCUCUCCAAAAACCCCUGUAUCUAGCCCUACGGGGAACGGGCUAGGUCACGGGCAACAUUAGACGACUGGCCUGCUGCAGCCACAACCUGGAAGCUGGCUGACCUGCGCACGCCUGAAGCUUGAGGAGCGUCUGAACCAGCGAUUGUGAACAGGAAGAUUCUCUUAUACAAUUGAUUGACUGCCCCCCCCUGUGGAACAAUUAUCAGGGAUAUUACUCAUUGGGGAUCCUCGGGAUAUAUGUUUUGGUCUUGGUGGUUCCCCAUUUCUGUCAUUGGGGAAUUAUAUUGGGCCUAAUAUUUUUUGUUAUCACAAUAAGGUAAUCUUUUGUGGAAGAAAUGCAUAUACUAGACAUCAACAUGAUUUUAUUAUUAAUCCUGAUCCCUUGGGAAGGGGAAGGGUCCUUGAAUCUGACCAAAUUUGCUAAAUAUGGAUUCCGCCAUGACCACAAUAUGUGGGUAGGCUUAGCUGAGAUGGUAGCCAAUGUUACAAAUAGGACCAAUUGCCUUGUUUGCUCUCUUGGACCAGAUGAUUCAGAGGGAGGUAUGCCCUUAUUACCGAUACCAUUAAAUGCCAUUGGUAUGGUAAGCGAAAUGCCACACCAAACAGAAGUACAGAAUUUCCCCGGAUGGAACUCAACUAAACCAAUACGAGUUAUACCUGUGCAAGGGGAAUUCUGUGUACAUAAAUUAUCAGCUGCAGCUGAUUCUAUCAUGAUAGGCUCUUCUCAUUGCCACUAUACUUGGGAUUAUAUUAAGAAUAGUCAAACCUGGGCAAACGGUACUACCUAUCGAACUCGGAAUACCUUGCCCUGUGCACCUCCUUUUAUUCAUGCAUGGAAACUGGUGUGGAACAUAACUGUGACAGAAAAAGGCAAUCUAACAUACUGCACUGUGAACUCUAUGCCCCUUUUGAUAUUUCGCCUUAUGCACUCCACGUACCAAAAACCUCAGACCCGAUGGUUGUGGUGGAUAUGUGGAGAAUGGGCAUACAAGCAACUCCCUCCCAAAUGGAGUGGGACUUGUUUCCUGGGAUGGGUAUUACCACCAAUGUGGAUUAUGCCCACUAGUUCGGCAAAGCGUACACGAAGAAACGCUGAUAUUUCUCAUAUAGCAGGAGGAAGUACCCAAAGUUGGAGUGAUACUGAUGAUUGGCCACCAGAGCGCAUUAUAGCCUAUUAUGAGCCUGCCUCCUGGAAUCCUGAUGAGCUCAUACAAGGGGCACGGGAUCCUAUUUAUAAUCUAAACAGAAUAAUUCGAUUGCAAGCAGUAGUGGAACUUGUAACCAAUGCAACGGCCCAGAGUUUGAGACUUAUUGCACAACAGUUGGAUGAAAGUAGAGCCGCCAUUUUGCAGCUGAAAAUGGGAAUGGAUUAUGUACUUGCCAGGCAGGGAGGCCUAUGUGGAGUCUUAAACUUGACAGGGAAUGCCUGUUGCUUUAACAUUUCUGAUAAUGGUGAGGCAAUCCGUGUGUUGGCCACAAAGAUGGAGAGUAUAGCACAUGUCCCAGUACAAAUAUGGGAAGGAUGGGAUAUGGGAUGGCUCACCAAUUGGUUACCUAAUGUUGCGGGACUCAAAGGGAUACUAUUGUCUUGCUUGUUUUUCUUGACGGUAGUAGUAAUGGUUUUAUGUACGGUGCCAUGUAUCAUUUCAUGUUUUAGAAGUACAAUUAGCAAGAUGAUUUCAAAUGAAACUUUACCUCAUAUUAUGGCCCUAUACAGAGCUUUACCUCAGGAAUAUGACGAAGGUCAAGCUAUCAAGGACACUUGGGAUGAAGGUCCUUGAGCUUGAAAGGGGGGAAUGAGGCAUCUGAUCAAAAUCUGCUUUGAGCUUAAAAAAUUAUAUUUGUAAAUAUAUUUUUCUCUGCAAGGGAGAAGAGCAGCUGAAUACUCCGGCAGCUGUUCAAGGGGCCCCACUGCUAUAAAUAAAAGUAUUUCAAGGUUGUAAAAGGAAAUUAGAGCCAGAGAGCAAAAGGUCACACUGACCAGAAUACAAUCAAGCUGUAAAAACACAAUUAAGAACUGGUAAAUAGUGAAAUUUAUUGUUUAACAGAAGACUCGAGCCAUAAGGUUAAAGGUUAAAUGGAAGAGGUUGCUCUUAGAAACAGCUGCUGGUUAGGGAAAAAGGCCUCUCUCCAAACUGUUUUGAAGCUUCAGAGAAUUUACUAAGUUCCUUCUAAUUUGAAAAGGCCUUUCCUUCUAAAAAUCUAUCUAUGUUAUGUAUGAAAUAUAUUGGCUUAAAUGUGAUUAUGCAAAGGAUUUAGAAAGUAAGAAAUGUUAGAUUCUUAUGUUAGAUUCCUAUUAUGGUGGGUGAGAAGGUGAACUCAAGAUCUCUUUAAGAUAAAAAAAUUAGAAACCAUGCACCAUCUGCUUUAGCCAUCUGGUUUGCGGUGAAUAGGGCAACAGGGGCCAAAGGUUAUCUGGUAAUUGAGGUGCCUGGUCGAGGUAAAUGUAAGAUAUAUGGCUACUUGUCUGCCAUUUAUGGAUACAAGGAAAUAUAGCUUUUUGUCUCCCAUAAAAGGGAAUAGGAAAUGGGUGUAUCUUUUAUGAUUGGUUCUAGCAAACAACCAAUAGGAAUUUCAACCAGGCUGAUUGGACAGAGGCAGCCAAAGGAGGAGCAAGGGGGCUGGGCUGAGGAAAUAUAAGUGCUGGCCAUCAGGGCUGGAGUAGGCAGAGCUUUGGUAUCCAUAUACCACUGUGUCUCUCAUUUAUUUGUCUGACAAAUAAAUUAUUAUUUUAAUUUCUCUAUUGCUGCGUUGAAUAUUUCAUUCCAGCUAAGCGUUAACCACAAGCAGGGUGCUACACC